UACCUAUGUAACAAAACUGCAUGUUGUGC
RNAcentral lists this non-coding RNA (29 nucleotides) under Homo sapiens (human). Lineage: Eukaryota; Metazoa; Chordata; Mammalia; Primates; Hominidae. The record is from RNAcentral.